Cannabis sativa is the source of this 107-nucleotide small nucleolar RNA. Lineage: Eukaryota; Viridiplantae; Streptophyta; Magnoliopsida; Rosales; Cannabaceae. The record is from RefSeq and is a predicted model, not a curated record.
UAACCAUGUUGUGGACAGUGACGUAAUAAGUCUUUGAAUCGCUCCCAUGCUUCAUAAAGUUGCUCUAAUUCUAGCUAUCUGAAAUGUCCAAUCUCACUCCUUAACUG